RNAcentral lists this ribosomal RNA (700 nucleotides) under Mesorhizobium sp. RNAcentral's name for it is "partial 23S ribosomal RNA". It matches the Rfam family "Bacterial large subunit ribosomal RNA", at positions 1 to 736 of the family's 2925-position model. The record is from RNAcentral. Lineage: Bacteria; Pseudomonadati; Pseudomonadota; Alphaproteobacteria; Hyphomicrobiales; Phyllobacteriaceae.
GGGUUGUGAGGUUAAGCGACUAAGCGUACACGGUGGAUGCCCUGGCAGUCAGAGGCGAUGAAGGACGUGCUAAUCUGCGAAAAGCGCCGGCGAGGUGAUAUGAACCCUUGACCCGGCGAUGUCCGAAUGGGGAAACCCAGUGUGAUUCGUCACACUAUCGUUAACUGAAUACAUAGGUUAACGAGGCGAACCGGGGGAACUGAAACAUCUAAGUACCCCGAGGAAAAGAAAUCAACCGAGAUUCCCCCAGUAGCGGCGAGCGAACGGGGAGCAGCCCAGAGUCUGAAUCAGCUUGUGUGUUAGUGGAAGCGUCUGGAAAGUCGCACGGUACAGGGUGACAGUCCCGUACACGAAAAUGCACAGGCUGUGAACUCGAAGAGUAGGGCGGGACACGUGGUAUCCUGUCUGAAUAUGGGGGGACCAUCCUCCAAGGCUAAAUACUCCUGACUGACCGAUAGUGAACCAGUACCGUGAGGGAAAGGCGAAAAGAACCCCGGCGAGGGGAGUGAAAAAGAACCUGAAACCGUGUACGUACAAGCAGUGGGAGCACCUUCGUGGUGUGACUGCGUACCUUUUGUAUAAUGGGUCAGCGACUUAUAUUCUGUAGCAAGGUUAACCGUAUAGGGGAGCCGAAGGGAAACCGAGUCUUAACUGGGCGUUAAGUUGCAGGGUAUAGACCCGAAACCCGGUGAUCUAGCCA